UCUCUCUAUGUAAUUGACACC
Molecule: non-coding RNA, 21 nt
Filed under: Caenorhabditis elegans
Lineage: Eukaryota; Metazoa; Nematoda; Chromadorea; Rhabditida; Rhabditidae
Source: RNAcentral